This 1102-nucleotide ribosomal RNA is filed under the name Providencia stuartii. RNAcentral describes it as "partial 23S ribosomal RNA". It matches the Rfam family "Bacterial large subunit ribosomal RNA", at positions 657 to 1756 of the family's 2925-position model. Lineage: Bacteria; Pseudomonadati; Pseudomonadota; Gammaproteobacteria; Enterobacterales; Morganellaceae. The record is from RNAcentral.
AUAGGGGAGCCGUAGGGAAACCGAGUCUUAACUGGGCGAAUGAGUUGCAGGGUAUAGACCCGAAACCCGGUGAUCUAGCCAUGGGCAGGUUGAAGGUUGGGUAACACUAACUGGAGGACCGAACCGACUAAUGUUGAAAAAUUAGCGGAUGACUUGUGGCUGGGGGUGAAAGGCCAAUCAAACCGGGAGAUAGCUGGUUCUCCCCGAAAGCUAUUUAGGUAGCGCCUCGUGAACUCAUCUUCGGGGGUAGAGCACUGUUUCGGCUAGGGGGUCAUCCCGACUUACCAACCCGAUGCAAACUACGAAUACCGAAGAAUGUUAUCACGGGAGACACACGGCGGGUGCUAACGUUCGUCGUGAAGAGGGAAACAACCCAGACCGCCAGCUAAGGUCCCAAAGUCAUGGUUAAGUGGGAAACGAAGUGGGAAGGCUCAGACAGCCAGGAUGUUGGCUUAGAAGCAGCCAUCAUUUAAAGAAAGCGUAAUAGCUCACUGGUCGAGUCGGCCUGCGCGGAAGAUGUAACGGGGCUAAACCAUGCACCGAAGCUGCGGCAGCGACAUGUAAAUGUUGUUGGGUAGGGGAGCGUUCUGUAAGCCUGUGAAGGUGUGCUGCGAGGCAUGCUGGAGGUAUCAGAAGUGCGAAUGCUGACAUAAGUAACGAUAAUGCGGGUGAAAAACCCGCACGCCGGAAGACCAAGGGUUCCUGUCCAACGUUAAUCGGGGCAGGGUGAGUCGACCCCUAAGGCGAGGCAGAAAUGCGUAGUCGAUGGGAAACAGGUUAAUAUUCCUGUACUGGUGAUAAUUGCGAUGGGGGGACGGAGAAGGCUAGGCUGGCCGGGCGACGGUUGUCCCGGUUUAAGGAUGUAGGUGGGCGAAUUAGGCAAAUCCGGUUCGCUAUACACUGAGGUCUGAUGACGAGUCACUACGGUGGCGAAGUAGCUCAUGCCCCGCUUCCAGGAAAAGCCUCUAAGCUCUAGAUUAUCAUUAAUCGUACCCCAAACCGACACAGGUGGUCAGGUAGAGAAUACUCAGGCGCUUGAGAGAACUCGGGUGAAGGAACUAGGCAAAAUGGUGCCGUAACUUCGGGAGAAGGCACGCUGGCA